AGUGAACGCUGGCGGUAGGCCUAACACAUGCAAGUCGAACGGCAGCACAGUAAGAGCUUGCUCUUACGGGUGGCGAGUGGCGGACGGGUGAGGAAUACAUCGGAAUCUACUUUUUCGUGGGGGAUAACGUAGGGAAACUUACGCUAAUACCGCAUACGACCUACGGGUGAAAGCAGGGGAUCUUCGGACCUUGCGCGAUUGAAUGAGCCGAUGUCGGAUUAGCUAGUUGGCGGGGUAAAGGCCCACCAAGGCGACGAUCCGUAGCUGGUCUGAGAGGAUGAUCAGCCACACUGGAACUGAGACACGGUCCAGACUCCUACGGGAGGCAGCAGUGGGGAAUAUUGGACAAUGGGCGCAAGCCUGAUCCAGCCAUACCGCGUGGGUGAAGAAGGCCUUCGGGUUGUAAAGCCCUUUUGUUGGGAAAGAAAAGAAGCAGGUUAAUACACGGCUGUUCUGACGGUACCCAAAGAAUAAGCACCGGCUAACUUCGUG
RNAcentral lists this ribosomal RNA (492 nucleotides) under uncultured bacterium. RNAcentral's name for it is "partial 16S ribosomal RNA". It matches the Rfam family "Bacterial small subunit ribosomal RNA", at positions 29 to 507 of the family's 1533-position model. The record is from RNAcentral.